GUGCUAGGGAAAGGAUCGCUAAAUCAUGAGAAUCUGCCAAAGCUGAAGAAUGUACUACUUGUAGAAGGACUCACGUCAAAUCUGAUAAGCAUCAGCCAGCUAUGUGAUCAAGAUCUUGAAGUGAGAUUCAACAAAUUCGCAUGUCGAGUAUUAGACAAAGAUGAGAAUUGUGUUAUUCAAGGAACUCGAUCAUCUGACAACUGCUAUAUUCUUGUCUCUGCUGGACCACUGGAAGAGGAACCAACAAAGGAAUCG
This is a non-coding RNA of Erythranthe guttata (spotted monkey flower), 255 nucleotides long. Lineage: Eukaryota; Viridiplantae; Streptophyta; Magnoliopsida; Lamiales; Phrymaceae. The record is from RefSeq and is a predicted model, not a curated record.